Long non-coding RNA from Musca domestica (house fly), 874 nucleotides. RefSeq lists it as uncharacterized. The record is from RefSeq and is a predicted model, not a curated record. Lineage: Eukaryota; Metazoa; Arthropoda; Insecta; Diptera; Muscidae. The transcript has 2 exons.
GAGAUAGGGGCGAAAGACCAAUCGAACCAUCUAGUAGCUGGUUCCCUCCGAAGUUUCCCUCAGGAUAGCUGGUGCAUUUAAAAAUUAUGUAAAAUAAUCUUAUCUGGUAAAGCGAAUGAUUAGAGGCCUUAGGGUCGAAACGACCUUAACUAUUCUCAAACUUUAAAUGGGUAAGAACCACACCUUUCUUGGUAUGAAGGUGUGGUUGUGAUAAAUGUGCCCAGUGGGCCACUUUUGGUAAGCAGAACUGGCGCUGUGGGAUGAACCAAACGUAAUGUUACGGUGCCCAAAUUGACAACUCAUGCAGAUACCAUGAAAGGCGUUGGUUGCUUAAAACAGCAGGACGGUGACAUGGAAGUCGUAAUCCGCUAAGGAGUGUGUAACAACUCACCUGCCGAAGCAACUAGCCCUUUAAAAUGGAUGGCGCUUAAGUUGUAUACCUAUACAUUACCGCUAAAGUAAAUGGUUUAUAUUCAAUUUCGGUUGGAUUUUAAACUUUGAAACUUUAGUGAGUAGGAGGGUACAAUGGUGUGCAUGGAAGUGUUUGGCGUAAGCCUGCAUGGAGCAGCCAUUGGCACAGAUCUUGGUGGUAGUAGCAAAUAAUCGAAUGAGACCUUGGAGGACUGAAGUGGAGAAGGGUACAAUGGUGUGCUUGGAAGUGUUUGGCGUAAGCCUGCAUGGAGCCGCCAUUGGCACAGAUCUUGGUGGUAGUAGCAAAUAAUCGAAUGAGACCUUGGAGGACUGAAGUGGAGAAGGGUUUCGUGUGAACAGGGUUGAUCACGAGUUAGUCGGUCCUAAGUUCAAGGCGAAAGCUGAAAAUUUUCAAGUUAUAAUUGACAAUUGCAAAAUUGUGUGAUUAAACACUUGAAUAAUU